This is a non-coding RNA of Pangasianodon gigas (Mekong giant catfish), 72 nucleotides long. The record is from the annotation of a GenBank genome assembly. NCBI's taxonomy places the organism in Eukaryota, Metazoa, Chordata, Actinopteri, Siluriformes, Pangasiidae.
UCCCUGGAGGACUAGUGGUUAGGCCUCAGCGCUCUCACCAGCAUGGCAUGGGUUUGAUUCCCGGCCAGGGAA